Non-coding RNA from Microcebus murinus (gray mouse lemur), 7352 nucleotides. NCBI's taxonomy places the organism in Eukaryota, Metazoa, Chordata, Mammalia, Primates, Cheirogaleidae. The record is from RefSeq and is a predicted model, not a curated record.
UCUGAAAAAAAUCAAAUGAAAGGCAACUCACAGGCACCCCCUGCAGCCCAUUUACUAUACAUUUAAAGGAAAAUAAAUAAAUAAAUAAAAACACCCCAUUGUGCAUCUCCUAGCAGCAGUUGCUGCAGUAACGUGCAUUGUCCCUACUUCACAGAGGAGGUUCACAGGGUAAAGUAGCUGACAGAAGUCACACAGCCAGUAACAGGCAAAGGAAGAUUUGAUUCUAAGUCUACCUGAUUCCAAAGCAACCACCUUUCCUUGUCCUUUGCAGGAAAUCCAUCCCGGGCCCAUCCAAUCCCUCCUCCUCUGUUAGGUGGUCAGCACCAGUGAGGCUGGCAGCCUUUCGUGGAAAAUGUGUUUGAGUAUCUUUCCAGUUAAGGAGAGGAGGGCUCAGCCUUUUCUACUGGUCCAUUGCCUGCAGCUCAGCCAUCCCAGCAACUAGAAGGACCUUCCCCAGGGGCUUCGCUCCGUACCAGGUACUGCCUCUGCCAAUUCUGUGUUCCUUGAGGGAAUGGAGCAUCUUUGAUUUCCUUUCUUUUCCCCCUUCCAACAAUCAUCCUUCAUCUUGUUAUCAGGGCCACACAUCUGCGCCUCUUGGCUCUGGUCCACAGGCCGUGUUUGCCGUGGUCAAUGCAAGGCUCUGUGUGGCCACAAUGUAUACCCAAGAAAGCAUUGUGACCCGUGCCCACAGGCCCAAGAGGCCCUGGCUCUGUCAAACGCAGCUGGCGGUUCCCCCAGAGGGGCCGAGGUGAGGUCACGUGGUCUGAAAGGUAGUUUCUGGUCACGGCUCUGCCCUCAGCUGUGUGACUUUGGCGGUAUCACUGCAGCAUUUGGAGCUGCAAUUUCUCCAUGUGCCCUUUCCUUCUCUCGGAAGAGAUAAAAGCAGUUCAGAGCUUGCUCUGCAGCAUGGUCGGAGGGUUUUUAAACACAGGUAUCCAGGUUGCUUUAAAUAAGAGCACCUGCAGCUCUUGUUUAAAAACAACCAAAAUAUUAGCAUUUUAUAAACACACUAUGUUUUCCAACGGGAAGUUGUGUCCAGCGUCCUAUUUCGGUGAACCAUGUCUGGCUGUUUGUCACAGGGAACCUCAUCCAGCAGCCGGCCCCCAGCAAACAUUCCCCAGCCUCAGUGGCAGCAGUUUGGGAUGGGCGGAGGAAGCCGUCAGUUCCGCCAAGACCCUGCGGUCAGCGGCUGUCCAUUUUGCCCUCCAACAGGGAUUUUCUCGGUAGCUGGCCACUGCUGUGUGUGUCGCGCUUCUCCAGGGUCAGGAGGCCUGGUAAGGUGCUAGAGAUCCCCAAGAGAGUGCUGUCGGCUUUUCCACUAGCCAUUCAUUUAUUCAACAGCCACUUGUCCCCACCUUCUUUGUGCCUGGCCUAGGGACAGAUGCUGGGGCCACUGGGAAGAGUUAGAGCCAGUCACUGCCCCUGGGAUUCACAGGCACGUAAGCAAAGAUGUAUGACACAGUGCAAGCAGUGCUGGGACAAAGUCACACGCAGCAGAGCCAGGUCGAGGUAAUCACAGUGGUCUGCCCAGGUUCAAGGGGAGGAGCCAUCGGAGGAGUGUCAAUGUCAAAAGAAGAGCUUCAUUCUUCCCGUGGGCUGGGAUAUACCAUGGCAGCCAUCUUUGGGAAAAUAUGAUCUGCCACACAGCCACAUGGGUUUUUCUGUGGAAGCUGAGAAAAACAUUUGCGUUGUUUCUUUACAGAUAAGAAAAGUCUCUGUGGAUUAUGUCAUUAAAUUAAAUGCAACCAUUAGUGUGUGGCUCUGGGGAUGUUGUGGUAAUAGGCUAUGCCUUGGGUGACUUUUUUCCUUCUAAAUAUUCUUCCUGGAGUGUGUGCUGCCAACCCAACCCAUUUCUCUUUGGUGUAAUAUCACAUAAAAACCUCAUCACCGUUAAUAUGGCAGAGCCAGUAGAGUGAGAUACAGACCAUGAUCCAGGAGGGCAGGGGGUUCCUGGGGAGGAGGUUACAGGAGCUGGGGGUUCAUUCCCUUGUAGGGAUUAACACUCUCUCAACAAAAAGCUUUCUACAAGGCAAUGGUUUGGGCAUGCUUAGUCACCCAGGCCAAUCUGGCCACAGCCUGGUGACAGGGUCUUUGUCUAUUGGCAGCAACCCCUAGAGUAGAGGUGGGCUCAGUUUGUUCAACCCAACACAUUUAUUUACCUUUAGUGCCUCUGAGUAUCCAGUGUAGCCAGGGGUGAGCAGUUGUGAAUGACCUACAGCCCCCUGAAGCCCUUCCCGCCCAGGGGAGGGGGCCCUUUAUUCCCAAAUACUUAUGGGCACUUGUGGUGGGCUAGGAAGUGUUCUAGGCAGCGAGGGUGGCGGUGAGCAGAGUUCUCCCCUCCAGGAGACAACAGUCCAGCAGGAGAAGACGCACAGCGAACAGGUGCGCAGGUCCGUGUAUGAUGAUCCUGGCAAUGAAGGAGAUGAGGAAAAUCAAGAGGUUGAGGGCAUGGUGACUGGGGGUGCGGUUUCAGCAGAGCAACCUACAGUUGCCAGGGCCAAGCAGGGAGUAGGCUUAGAGGGCUCAGGGAGCAGCACGUGGCUGCAGGGGAGGGAGAGAGGCCGAAAGGGAGCCAGGGCUGGGUUACCGGACUCGCCAGGGACUGUAAGGACUAUGGUUCUUAACUCCAGGUCAGGUGGGAGCCAUGGAAGGGUUUUGAGCAGAGGAGUGGCAUGAGAUGACCUGCGGUUUUUAAAAAUCCCUCUGGCUGCAUGUUGAGGACAGAUGAGUAGGUGGGGUGGGGCAAGGGCAGAUGGCGAGGGGGCAGUUAGAAACCCUGGGAAUAAACAUGAGAGAGAAGAGGUGGCCGGGCCAACGUGGUUACAUGGAGUAGGUGAGACAUGGGCAGGGUCUCGAAGCCUUGCAGAGAUAAGGCCACCAGGGUUUGCUGCAGGCCCAGAUGAGGGGUGAGCAACAGAGUCGAAGGUUUGGGGCCACAGCAGUGAGGAUGAGUUGCAUUGGCCAGGAUGGGCAAGACUGAGAGGAGCAGGCUUUGCUUUGAGACAAGUGAAAUGUGAGGUGCCUGUGGCCCUCCACGUGGGAGUGUGAGGAGGAAGUUGGAUAUGUGGGUCUGGGGCUCAGGGACAAGACCCUGGCUGGAGAUUUAAAUCUGGGCGUCAUCAGCAGGUGCAUAGUUUCUAAGGUUUGAAGUUGGAUGAAGUCACUAAGAGAAGGAGAGAGGACAAAAGCCCAAAGACAAGAGCCCCAGGGUACCCAAGUCUUUGGAGGUCGGGAGAUGGGCAGGAACCAGCCAAGGAGCCUGGGAAGAAGCCAUCAUGGGGUUAGAAGGAGCCAGAGGAAGAAUAGCGUCCCAAAGGCCAAGGUCCCAUAGGGGCCAGCAGCGGUGAUGCUGGGAGAGGCCGCCAGCCAGCCACUGCCUUCCCACCGUCCCUCAGCAGCUCUUUCCUGAGCAUGGGGAGGACUCGGAUGUGGACUAGAACCCUGCUCCUAUGAAGGGACAGAGACAGGACAGUGAUCCCUUCAGAGUGCAGUAAGCGUGGGGAGCUCGUGUGGGAGGUGGAGGUGCGCAGCACCAGGCCUAGAGGGUAGCGCCCCAGGGGGCGGGGCAGACCUCUCAGAGCAAGAGGCAUCCAAGCCGACAACAGAAGGUGGGAUCUCGUGCAGACAGUGGGGUGGAGACCAGAAUGGCUUCGUGGGCAACGAGCCAUUUGAGGCGGACUCCAAUUUCCCACAUGAGAAGGUGGAAUGGGGAAGGGAAUUCCUAGAAGAGGUAUAAAAGAGUCACAACAGUAGGGGUGUAUGAGGAGGCCACAGGGAAUGACAAGUGGCCCGUUUGGGUUGGAGAGCUCUGGCCUUUGGAGCUACUUAGAGACAAGGCUGAGAAAGGGUGGCGGGAAGCGGGUAUGAGAGAGGCAGUAGGAACCCUUGACCUCUGAGAGUUCACAGUCUGGCUGGAGAGGAGACAGAGCCCUGCAGUGCAGGGAGGGAGCAGUGGAUGCUCUAUCCAGAGGCCCAAGAAAGCACUGUGGGUACUCUCUGGUUAACUAGUAGAAUUGGGAAGGCUGCCACCGAGAGGCAGAUCUUGAAGAAUGCAUAGGCUUUGAACAUGCCAAGACGCACAGAGAAACUUUCUUGGCAGAGGAGACCGCAUAUGCAAAGGUAUGGAAGCAGGAGUAUGCACUUCUUAUUGCAUGGAUGCUGAGGAGCCAUUGCAGGUUCCUGAGCUGGGGAGAGACACAGUUGGAUUUGUUUUUAGGAAGACAGGUCAGGCAACAAUGUAUAGGGUGAAUCGCAGGUAAAGGGAAGGGUUUCUAAAGGUAGGAGGACCCUUUUGGAGGCAGCUGCAUACCCAGAUCAGGGCUAGUGAUGGCCUCAGUGGCAGAUAAAGGAAAACUGCCUUAAGGGUUUACCUGUAAGUUGGGCCAAGGGCUUUGUAAGCUGCAAUCUCAUGCCCACACUGCCCUGCAGGACGAGGGAGAGGGUCAGGAAUGUGGUCAUACAACAAGCCCUCAGUGACCCAGGAAGACUUUGUGGAGGGGCCCAGAGUCAGUAGGGGGCAAGGAGGGCCACGUGUACCCAACAUCAUGCCACCCCCUGUCCAUCCACUGCCUCAUCUAACCCUCCCAGAAGCCUUCUGAGGUUGAUCCUACUGCCAUCCCAUUUUACAGAGAAGGGGAAUGAGGCUCAGAGGUAAAAUGACCUGCCCUUGUGCACAGCUAGUAUGUAAUGAACCCUGACACCAAAGCCAGCCUCAUAGCCACUGUGUGAGGUUGCCUUGCAAAGGCUUUAUUCAGUAGCCAAAGAUCAGAACAGUGGGGUGGGAGCAUCCCCUACCCUCCCAUAGGGAAGGACAAGGGAGUCUCCCUUCCCUGCUUCCUGGUCAGGCCACUCUUUCAAGGUGAGCUAAGGGACCCCGGAAAUAACAGUAAGCUGAUUUAUCAAGCACUUACUCUGUGCCAAGUAAUAUAGAGCUGUAUUUAGGCCAGGUAUGUAAAUGAUGUAUUUGUCUUUGCUCAACAGCCUGCAGUGGCUCCCCAGUGCCCUAACCCAGUGGUCUUAAUUUCAUUUUACACAUGAGCACUUUGAUGCUUAGAGCAGAUGUGUUGUUGGCCCAUACUGGGAUCUGAACCCAGGGCUGUCUAUGAGUCCUGGGCCUGUGUUCUUUCUAACACACCUCACUGCCUCCUAUCCUGGCAGGAAUGGGGAGGUGUCCUUUGUGAACCCCAGGAGUUCAGAGCUAGAGCUAGGAGAGUGGACCAACAUGGAACCCGCCCCAGAGGCAGCCCCAGGGAAGCAUCCAAGCUGGCUGUGUGACUUUUUGUGCCCUGUUGGCUCUUUGCAUAUAAAUCAUGGGCCUGUUUACUGAACAGGGAGUGUUUCUUUCCCUUGGGCAGCCGCAGGUGCAGAUAGGGCUGAAUUCAGGAUAGGACCUUCUCCCCUGCCCCUCCUGGCUGCUGGGCAAACCUCUGGCCUGGAAUGAAAGGCUUUCUAAUAAGUGCCUUGCUGGACCGCAGCUCAGCCGUGUGCCAGGUGGGGGCAGGGGCAGGAGGCCAACCAAGAGAAGGAUUCGGGAGCCUGAGAGCAGGGGCAAGACCUUGCCAGCAAACCUCUUAGCGGGCUGCUUUCUUAGCCGGCUGCAUCGAGCGUCCCCAGAGGCAUCCUGGUCACGAGGAGCCCUGGCUGCCCUCCCGCCUGGCCCAGAGGAAGGAGGGCCCAUGGGGAGAAACACCAGGCAGCCCAGGGCAGGAUUCAGAAAUCAGACACCAGGGGCCACCUCCCCCUGGCUUUGAAGGCCACACAGCGAGGCAGGUGGGGUCAGGUCAGCCAUCAGAUCCGAAGUUUCACAGAGAAUUGAAAGGCACCGAGUUGCUUGGAAAACAUUACCCUCAGCCUGACCUGGGGGUGGGCCAGUCCUCCCUUGGCCCAAUCUUAAGUGCGUUCCCUCCCCUCUCGGGCCCCUCAUCUGUGAAAUGAAGCUGUGGGGCCGCAGAGCCAGGAGUGCGGAUGCCAGGCCAGCAGCCUGUGACCUGGGCACAUCUCAGCUGUCCUCUGUCCCCUUGCCUGAGCCCCUCCACAGGGUAAAGACAUCCCCAGGAACUUUGUUCAGCCCUGCCACCUACAGGGAAGCAGCUGCGACAAACCAGGAAAGGCUCUAGCUCUGUUUGGCUUUGAUGUGUUUUCCUGCCAGUCCUUCAGCGUGGGAGGGGCUGACAGUCUGGAAAUUCACUUCAACCCAAAUACGGAAGCCACCCCAGGACUUGUGACUGGGUCCAGAGCCCUCUCCUCCCUCCUUGCCAACCCUCCCUUCUGGUAACCGGUUCUUUAACCUCCAGCCUUAUCUUGCUCCCCGCUUCCCCUCCCUCCCCCUCUCUCUUCCGCCAUGCAGUGCCCUUUAUCAGACCUUGCCUGGCCGAAGGGUAGUCAAGUAUUUGCGCUCCAGAAGGAUUCUCUGCCUGCAAAGUCAGGCAAGGGAGCAGUUAGGAGGCACUAAGUUAGGAGAUGAGGCGCUAAGUCUGAGUUCAGGGGGUGCUGGCAAGGCCGCCACCUCAGACUCUAGGGGGCUCAGCAGGCUCUAGAGCUUCCUCUGGGGGAAGGCAGAGCCUGCACGUGCCUCUCCGUGCUGCCAGCCUCUGCAGUGAGGACGCUAAAGGAACAAUGACUCCUCUUAGAGCUACACUCUGAUCCCUAAAGGAAAUUGCUGCUGCCUGCAAUGACUCUGUAAGGAGCUGAUGGGAGGCAGCCACUGCCGCCAGGAAGCCUUCCAGAUGACACCAGGCACAUCUCUUUCUCCCUCCCCUUGUCUUUCACAGUCCUCUACAGCUGCAGGCUCUGGUUGUGCUGGAUGAAGUCUUUCUCAUUACGACUUGACAGUUUGAAAAACUAUUAUUUUGCAAUUUCCUCAGCCUUUAUUCCCAGGACAAAAGUCUAAUGCCCAGUGGCAGGGGCCAGGCCUGGUAGCCUGCUCUUUGUGCACUCACUGCCCUAGGAAGAGUGGCCAUGAAAUUUUUGGUUUGUGAAUUUGUUUGGUUUCUAUGCCGAAACUUUCCUUACUUUUUUAAGAAAUAGAAAUAAAUUUCUGGUUAUAAAAAAACAAACAAACCCAUGAGCUGAAGGAAUCAAAAAGCACCUGUUAUCUCAGCACUCAAAGAGAAGCACCGGAUCACAUCCUUCCAGACCAGUUCUGACAGUUCACACUUUGCUUUACAAUAAGGAAAUUAUAUGAGGUGCUUUUUUUUUGCAGCAACCUACUUUUUUUUUUUUUAACAGAUCCCAUGGAUAGAUCACCAAGUAAAUAAACACAAGUCUGUCUCACCUGUGUGAAUGGCUGUGUAGUGUCCUAUUUUAUGUUUAAGCCAUAAUUUAUAUAACUAAUUCUCUCACUCUCUCUCUUU